Molecule: ribosomal RNA, 1176 nt
Filed under: Staphylococcus sp.
Lineage: Bacteria; Bacillati; Bacillota; Bacilli; Caryophanales; Staphylococcaceae
Description: bacterial SSU rRNA
Rfam family: Bacterial small subunit ribosomal RNA
Source: RNAcentral
CUAUACAUGCAGUCGAGCGAACGGACGAGAAGCUUGCUUCUCUGAUGUUAGCGGCGGACGGGUGAGUAACACGUGGAUAACCUACCUAUAAGACUGGGAUAACUUCGGGAAACCGGAGCUAAUACCGGAUAAUAUUUUGAACCGCAUGGUUCAAAAGUGAAAGACGGUCUUGCUGUCACUUAUAGAUGGAUCCGCGCUGCAUUAGCUAGUUGGUAAGGUAACGGCUUACCAAGGCAACGAUGCAUAGCCGACCUGAGAGGGUGAUCGGCCACACUGGAACUGAGACACGGUCCAGACUCCUACGGGAGGCAGCAGUAGGGAAUCUUCCGCAAUGGGCGAAAGCCUGACGGAGCAACGCCGCGUGAGUGAUGAAGGUCUUCGGAUCGUAAAACUCUGUUAUUAGGGAAGAACAUAUGUGUAAGUAACUGUGCACAUCUUGACGGUACCUAAUCAGAAAGCCACGGCUAACUACGUGCCAGCAGCCGCGGUAAUACGUAGGUGGCAAGCGUUAUCCGGAAUUAUUGGGCGUAAAGCGCGCGUAGGCGGUUUUUUAAGUCUGAUGUGAAAGCCCACGGCUCAACCGUGGAGGGUCAUUGGAAACUGGAAAACUUGAGUGCAGAAGAGGAAAGUGGAAUUCCAUGUGUAGCGGUGAAAUGCGCAGAGAUAUGGAGGAACACCAGUGGCGAAGGCGACUUUCUGGUCUGUAACUGACGCUGAUGUGCGAAAGCGUGGGGAUCAAACAGGAUUAGAUACCCUGGUAGUCCACGCCGUAAACGAUGAGUGCUAAGUGUUAGGGGGUUUCCGCCCCUUAGUGCUGCAGCUAACGCAUUAAGCACUCCGCCUGGGGAGUACGACCGCAAGGUUGAAACUCAAAGGAAUUGACGGGGACCCGCACAAGCGGUGGAGCAUGUGGUUUAAUUCGAAGCAACGCGAAGAACCUUACCAAAUCUUGACAUCCUUUGACAACUCUGGAGAUAGAGCUUUCCCCUUCGGGGGACAAGUGACAGGUGGUGCAUGGUUGUCGUCAGCUCGUGUCGUGAGAUGUUGGGUUAAGUCCCGCACGAGCGCACCCUUAAGCUUAGUUGCCAUCAUUAAGUUGGGCACUCUAUUUGACUGCCGUGACAACCCGAGAAAGGUGGGGAUGACGUCAAUCAUCUGCCCCUUAUGAUUGGGCUA